This 165-nucleotide small RNA is filed under the name Arabidopsis thaliana (thale cress). RNAcentral describes it as "ATSL082770". Lineage: Eukaryota; Viridiplantae; Streptophyta; Magnoliopsida; Brassicales; Brassicaceae. The record is from RNAcentral.
AUAUACAAAAUAAGUUAAAAUACAAAUGUAAAUGUAAAUGCAAAUGUAAAAGCGGAUAGCUUGGCGCGAAAAGUUCGCACUGAACUGCUUCAUAUCACUUAUGUAAACAACAUUCCUCAGUUUUGGCUCGUUUGAGCUCUAAUUAUAAUCGGAUGACAAAAAAAA